This is a long non-coding RNA of Mustela erminea (ermine), 2756 nucleotides long. RefSeq lists it as uncharacterized. The transcript has 3 exons. The record is from RefSeq and is a predicted model, not a curated record. NCBI's taxonomy places the organism in Eukaryota, Metazoa, Chordata, Mammalia, Carnivora, Mustelidae.
CAUGCCAGCAGAGCAGGGGAGUAUGAGGUGUGCUGUCCAUCCCUCAGCCCGCAGGGGCCUGGGCCACACUCGGCCUCGUGACUCUCCCAGAACCACAAGCAUCAUCUGCUGUGGAUAAAGGAAGCCACACGUGAACAGGUGUUCAGAGCUCAAAUUAAGGAACUACUACGAUGUGGGGGAUAAUGAAGCUGCAGAUUAAAAGAAAACAGAAGAUUAAACUCAAGCAGAGAAAGGAUGUAGGCAUUCAAAAGGGGUAGAGAAAGGGAAGGACCCUGGCAGAGGCAAGCAGGUGCAAAGCCUACUCAACGCCAAGCAAAGUCAGGGUCAUGCUUCCACAUGCUAAAAAGAUGGCCUGUGGGUUCCUGCCACAGAAGAGGUGACUAAUGAGAAAUUGCCCAGGAUUUCUGCCAGUGUAGACUGUGAAGCUUGUAAAGCAAAUGGAACUUUCGCCUAGACGAAGAGACGGUCCCGCUGAGGCGAUUAUCACUCUACCUCAGGAUCUGGCCUGACCUGCAGGUCUGCAAGGAAGAGAAAAAACUUGGCUUGGAAGUGCCGCUACCUCUUUUGUCCUUUCUAUGACUUGGGUGAGAGUAACGGAAAGAAAAGAAAAAAUCCCAAGUUUGGAUGAAAGGAGCUAUUCAGCCCUUUUGGAUAAGAACCAACAAAUAAUACGGGGAUUUCCUUCUUCGUUAUUUUGCUUUCUCUACUCUGCAAGCUUCAGAAUCGGCACACAAACUGCCCCCUGGCCCCCAGAGUGGUGACUCGAUUGUAUCUAAAGGCAAAGAAAUGCCUCAGUCACUUCUGGCUCUGCAGCCUCUUGGCCCUUUGGUCAGAAUGUCUGUGCUCCCCUGUCCACCAGCCUUAUGGUUGAGCAUUGAACGUGACCAACCUGCUGGCCACACGAAGAUUUAUUAGGGGGUGAGGUGAGAGCUGAGCUGUGUGGUACAGGCCCCAGAGGGUGGCUUCGCUGACCACCUUUUGUGGAAAGAAAGAUACCAAGCAGCAAGCAUUUAUAUGGACCCCCAUGCCCUUCCCUUUGGGGAUCCCUCUGACCCUGUCUUCCUCUGAGACCCCAGUGUCUGGAUUUUUCACACUCCUGGAGGUCUUUCCAGUCUGGCUUGCCUCCCACUCAGCAGCGACCUCCUGUGGCCUCUCCCAGGCCCUGCUGUUAACAGGUGUAGAGCCACUCAAGGCCUGGACUAAGGCUCAGAACAACAGCUACAAAAGCAAUAGGACAGCAAAAGAGAAAUCAAAAGAGAAUGUUCGCACCCAAAGGGCAGAAGAGGUGAUCCGUGCAGCUGGUGAGGGUGACUGCUCCAAUGGCUGCUGCUGUGGGAUGUGGAAACAAGGGCUUUGGGCUCCCCUCAGAAACCUUAAAAAUAAGCCCCUCGCAUUUAUAGGAAGCAACAGCAACAGAACGUGAGAGUAAGUACCCAGACAAGGAACAGUCACCCGCAGGCCAACCUCCAGCAACAGCGGGAAGCAGGCUGCUGUUGGUUCUACACUAGGGCUGUCUGUGGGUCUCACUCCUCCCGUGCAUAAGCGAAGGGUCCCAGAACAAAGCUCAUCUGGGAAAGAAAACCAAGGGCCCAAGGCAAGGAGAAAGAUCAGAAAAUGGGAAUGCUCCUCAGUUCUCACGCAGGGGAGAGGGAGAAGUCCCAUAGGGAAUCAGGGGACCUGAGAAGCCACUUGGGGCUCAGCUGACACUCAGCAGGUUUCUGGUGGGUCCUGAUCUGCCCUGAAGUGAAAAGCUUGGAAGGGAAAAGCAGGGAGCUUGGGGGAAAGGGCUUCUGGCUCCCUAGUCUGCCUGGCCCAUGGAUUUCCCUGCAGAAAAUGCUAUCACCGCUUUUGUGCAGUGACCCAGUGGGUCCUAACCUAAAAUAUCAACCCAAAUAUGCUCAUCCCACCAGAGAGAGAACUGCAGGGUCAGGCCGUGCACUGAUGGCCUCACUGUAUUCGCUUUCACGAUAUCGGGGAAGGAAAGAUUAGAAGAGGAGGCUGACCAUUUCCCAUCCCCACACUCUACACACCAACCAAUCUUCCCAAAAGGGAGGGACACAAAGAACUACAUUUAUCGCUGGAGAACCCUUUUCUGACAUCUACCAGAACGAAUGUCCUGCCUUCUCUUCAAAACCAACACCAUCCAUAAAACCAACACAACACAUCCUCGUGUCUAUGAGAGAGAAGUUGGCUUGGGUUUAAUCCACUGCAAAUUAAUACUCUGCCCAAACCCCUCCCAUAGCCCAUCCCCAUUUACCUGGGAUUACAGCUGUUACUAGUGACACCAAGUUAGGGGCUGGAGGAGGGAGGCCACACGGGACAUUAUCAGGAAGACAAGGUAUAAGGCAAGCAGAAUGGCACACCCAUGAUUCUUUGUAAACAGCCACAUUUCCAAAUAGUGUGACCAACAGCAAGGAUCACUGUCAGCUUUCCCCACUCCCACUCCAUGACCCCACUUACUCUAUUGGAAAACCCUGCGGUCUUCAACAUCUGUCAACAUUUCAGUUACUUAAACUCAACUAUGUGAUUUAAAAAAAAAUAAAGGCCGUGGUCAAAGACAUUCACCACCAGAUAUGGACUCCAGAAAGCAACUUAACAAUCUCUAGCUUCCAAUCCACUUUAAACCACAUGGGACAUGCUGGACAACAUGUAACAUACCCAACCUGACUUGACUGGCUUGUUCUUAGGAUCAACGGAAAGAGGGGCACCAGGGUGGCUCAGUCAAUGAAGCGUCUGCUUUCGGCUCAGGUCAUGAU